This 1134-nucleotide ribosomal RNA is filed under the name uncultured Arcobacter sp. RNAcentral's name for it is "bacterial SSU rRNA". It matches the Rfam family "Bacterial small subunit ribosomal RNA", at positions 363 to 1533 of the family's 1533-position model. The record is from RNAcentral. Lineage: Bacteria; Pseudomonadati; Campylobacterota; Epsilonproteobacteria; Campylobacterales; Arcobacteraceae.
UAUGCACAUGACGAAAGUCUGAUGCAGCACGCCGCGUGAGAUGACACAUUUCGUGCGUAAACUCUUUUAUAUGAGAAGAAAAUGACGUAUCAUAUGAUAAGCGCCGGCUAACUCCGUGCCAGCAGCCGCGGUAAUACGGAGGGCGCAAGCGUUACUCGGAAUCACUGGGCGUAAAGAGCGUGUAGGCGGAUAGAAAAGUUGGAAGUGAAAUCCUGUGGCUUAACCAUAGAACUGCUUCCAAAACUCUCUAUCUAGAAUAUGGGAGAGGUAGAUGGAAUUUCUGGUGUAGGGGUAAAAUCCGUAGAGAUCAGAAGGAAUACCGAUUGCGAAGGCGAUCUACUGGAACAUUAUUGACGCUGAGACGCGAAAGCGUGGGGAGCAAACAGGAUUAGAUACCCUGGUAGUCCACGCCCUAAACGAUGUACAUUAGUUGUUGCUAUGCUAGACAUAGCAGUAAUGCAGUUAACACAUUAAAUGUACCGCCUGGGGAGUACGGUCGCAAGAUUAAAACUCAAAGGAAUAGACGGGGACCCGCACAAGCGGUGGAGCAUGUGGUUUAAUUCGACGAUACGCGAAGAACCUUACCUGGCCUUGACAUACCAAGAACCUAAUAGAGAUAUAAGGGUGCUAGUUUACUAGAACUUGGAUACAGGUGCUGCACGGCUGUCGUCAGCUCGUGUCGUGAGAUGUUAGGUUAAGUCCUGCAACGAGCGCAACCCUCGUGUUUAGUUACUAACAGAUUAUGCUGAGGACUCUAGACAUACUGCCUGGGCAACCAGGAGGAAGGUGAGGACGACGUCAAGUCAUCAUGGCCCUUACGGCCAGGGCUACACACGUGCUACAAUGGGGUAUACAAAGAGCCGCAAUACCGCGAGGUGGAGCAAAUCUCAUAAAAUAUCUCCCAGUUCGGAUUACACUCUGCAACUCGAGUGUAUGAAGUUGGAAUCGCUAGUAAUCGUAGAUCAGCAAUGCUACGGUGAAUACGUUCCCGGGUCUUGUACUCACCGCCCGUCACACCAUGGGAGUUGAAUUCAUUCGAAGCGGGGAUGCUAAAAUAGCUACCUUCCACAGUGGAUUUAGUAACUAGGGUGAAGUCGUAACAAGGUAGCCAAGGGCGAAUCGCGCCCGGCUUAC